GACGAACGCUGGCGGCGUGCUUAACACAUGCAAGUCGAGCGGUAAGGCCCUUUCGGGGGUACACGAGCGGCGAACGGGUGAGUAACACGUGGGUGACCUGCCUCUAGCUCUGGGAUAAGCCCGGGAAACUGGGUCUAAUACUGGAUAUGACUCCAUGACGCAUGUUGUGGGGUGGAAAGCCUUGUGCGGCUAGAGAUGGGCCCGCGGCCUAUCAGCUUGUUGGUGGGGUGANGGCCUACCAAGGCGACGACGGGUAGCCGGCCUGAGAGGGCGACCGGCCACACUGGGACUGAGACACGGCCCAGACUCCUACGGGAGGCAGCAGUGGGGAAUCUUGCGCAAUGGGCGAAAGCCUGACGCAGCGACGCCGCGUGAGGGAUGACGGCCUCGG
Molecule: ribosomal RNA, 391 nt
Filed under: uncultured bacterium
Lineage: Bacteria
Description: bacterial SSU rRNA
Rfam family: Bacterial small subunit ribosomal RNA
Source: RNAcentral